This 616-nucleotide ribosomal RNA is filed under the name uncultured Legionella sp. Its description in RNAcentral is "bacterial SSU rRNA". It matches the Rfam family "Bacterial small subunit ribosomal RNA", at positions 242 to 849 of the family's 1533-position model. Lineage: Bacteria; Pseudomonadati; Pseudomonadota; Gammaproteobacteria; Legionellales; Legionellaceae. The record is from RNAcentral.
UAGCUAGUUGGUGGGGUAAGGGCCUACCAAGGCGACGAUCGGUAGCUGGUCUGAGAGGAUGGCCAGCCACACUGGAACUGAGACACGGUCCAGACUCCUACGGGAGGCAGCAGUGGGGAAUAUUGGACAAUGGGGGCAACCCUGAUCCAGCAAUGCCGCGUGUGUGAAGAAGGCCUGAGGGUUGUAAAGCACUUUCAGUGGGGAGGAGGGUUAAUAGGUUAAGAGCUAAUUGAUUGGACGUUACCCACAGAAGAAGCACCGGCUAACUCCGUGCCAGCAGCCGCGGUAAUGCGGAGGGUGCAAGCGUUAAUCGGAAUUACUGGGCGUAAAGCGUGCGUAGGUGGUUAAUUAAGUUAUCUGUGAAAUCCCUGGGCUUAACCUGGGCAGGUCAGAUGAUACUGGUUAACUCGAGUAUGGGAGAGGGUAGUGGAAUUUCCGGUGUAGCGGUGAAAUGCGUAGAGAUCGGAAGGAACACCAGUGGCGAAGGCGGCUACCUGGCCUAAUACUGACACUGAGGCACGAAAGCGUGGGGAGCAAACAGGAUUAGAUACCCUGGUAGUCCACGCCGUAAACGAUGUCAACUAGCUGUUGGAUAUAUGAAUAUAUUUAGUGGCGC